This 3002-nucleotide small RNA is filed under the name Pongo abelii (Sumatran orangutan). Its description in RNAcentral is "retained intron". The record is from RNAcentral. Lineage: Eukaryota; Metazoa; Chordata; Mammalia; Primates; Hominidae.
GCUUUUGGGGGCGGGGAGCCUGUACGCAGCCACCCUUGGGGUCACUCGGCUCUGAUCUAGGUCCCAUCCGCCUCCUCCACGCCUUCUCCAGUUCCUUCCCUUGCGUCUUGUGCUCGAGGUCCAAGGGCGGAGUAGCGGAGCCCUUCCUGACACCCGACUCCUUCCCCAGGAGCAGCAGGUGGAUGGCGACCUGCUUCUGCGGCUCACGGAGGAGGAACUCCAGACCGACCUGGGCAUGAAAUCGGGCAUCACCCGCAAGAGGUUCUUUAGGGAGCUCACGGAGCUCAAGACCUUCGCCAACUAUUCUACGUGCGACCGCAGCAACCUGGCCGACUGGCUGGGCAGCCUGGACCCGCGCUUCCGCCAGUACACCUACGGCCUGGUCAGUUGCGGCCUGGACCGCUCCCUGCUGCACCGCGUGUCUGAGCAGCAGCUGCUGGAAGACUGCGGCAUCCACCUGGGCGUGCACCGCGCCCGCAUCCUCACGGCGGCCAGAGAAAUGCUACACUCCCCGCUGCCCUGUACUGGUGGCAAACCCAGUGGGGACACUCCAGAUGUCUUCAUCAGCUACCGCCGGAACUCAGGUUCCCAGCUGGCCAGGUGAGGAGGGGCAGGCGGGCAGCGGCGGGGUGUGGGGACAAGGCUGUGGCACUGACACAGGACCUGCUUGCAGCCUCCUGAAGGUGCACCUGCAGCUGCAUGGCUUCAGUGUCUUCAUUGAUGUGGAGAAGCUGGAAGCAGGCAAGUUCGAGGACAAACUCAUCCAGAGUGUCAUGGGUGCCCGUAACUUUGUGCUGGUGCUGUCACCUGGAGCACUGGAUAAGUGCAUGCAAGACCAUGACUGCAAGGAUUGGGUGCAUAAGGAGAUUGUGACUGCUUUAAGCUGUGGCAAGAACAUUGUGCCCAUCAUUGAUGGCUUCGAGUGGCCUGAGCCCCAGGUCCUGCCUGAGGACAUGCAGGCUGUGCUUACUUUCAACGGUAUCAAGUGGUCCCACGAAUACCAGGAGGCCACCAUUGAGAAGAUCAUCCGCUUCCUGCAGGGUCGCUCCUCCCGGGACUCAUCUGCAGGCUCUGACACCAGUUUGGAGGGUGCUGCACCCAUGGGUCCGACCUAACCAGUCCCCAGUUCCCCAGCCCUGCUGUGACUUCCAUUUCCAUCGUCCUUUCUGAAGGAACAGCUCCUGAAACCGGUCUCCCUGGGCUGAGACAACCUGGGCUCUUCUUAGGAAAUGGCUCUCCCUCUCCCUGUCCCCCACCCUCGUGGCCCACCUCCAACCCACUUUCCUCAAUAUCUGGAGAGGGAAGGGAAGUCAGGCUUGGGUGCGGGAGGUUAGAACUCCCCCAGGCCCUGCCAUUGGGUUGUCUGUCUCCGUCAUGGGGAGGGUCCCUGUUCAGUUCUGGAGACACUGGAGUUGGGGUGGGGGUGGUUCUGCAUUCCCUUCUCCUGCUCUGAUAGCAGCCAGCUUGAGGAGGAUGAAGGAAGGUAGCCUCAAACAGGAAUUAAGGCAAUGCCCAGGCGGGCCUGGGCACUGUAUUCUGAGCAAAGGCCUGGGCCCAGGAGCCAGCCAGGGAUGAGUGCCAUCAUGGCUCUCCACUCAGACCGUGCCUGGCCCCUGCACUUACAACUUCCUGCCACUCUGUGGCCUUGCCCUGUAAUCACUCAGUGCCCUUAGCUAGCCUAAGUCCCAGAUCCCCUACAGCUUCCUUCGGUGUGGUAUCUUUUGCCACAUCCAGGGCGAGGGUUGAGGCAAACCAGCCCUCCCUCUGACUUCCUUGUCACUGCAGCCAGCUUUGCUGCACUUGCUGGUGCACAGGAGCCUCCUGUUUGGACCUGGGUCUGGGCAUGGGGAGGCCAUGCCUCAAAGCCCACCCUACCCCAUGCCUUGGUGCUGUGCCUCAGGCUCCUUCCUGGUCUGGCCCAGCUGGCUUCCCCAGCCCCUCAGCCAUCCAGGGCUACCCACCGCUUGCUCAGGGACCAGGCAGCCCCCCAUGGCAGUAAAAGCAGCCUAGACAGAACCUGCAGCUCUGUGGAAAGAGGCAAAGUCCUGAAAAGGCAAAGGGUUGUCACUUAGGGCAGCUUCUCCAACUUUAACGUGCAUCCAAGUCACCUGGGAAUGUUGUUAAAAUCAGGAGAUCUGGGGUGGGGCCUAGGACUCUGCAUUUCUUACAGAUUCCCAGGUGAGCUGAUGCUGGUGGUUAAGGGUAGCAAAUCUCUAAAGCACGAAGCCCUCACAAAUCUUUGCCAUUUCCCAAACACUCUGCUCCAUGGUCUCCAGUCAUCAGAACAACUCUACCUGGUAUUAUCAUCCCCAUUUUACAGAUAAUGACACUGAGGCUCAGAAAGGUUGAGGAUAAGCCCAGUUUCCUGUCAUUAGUGGCAGCCCCAGAUCCAGACCUAGGCCUCCUGGCACCCCGUCCACUGGCAGUGGAAUUGCUUUCCUGAGAAUCAUUCUGAGGCUGGGCUAUUGCUUCUCCCUUGCUUCAAAGAAUCUAGCAGCGGGGGAUAGGAUUUUGCAACAAAAAGCUGACCCAGAGGCCAUACAGAGCAGGAAUAUCCCGUUGCCCCCUCCUCCACUGGGUUCAGAGGGCAACAAAGUACCCUCCAAUAAACCCAGGCUCCAGGCCGUGGGGGCUGCUGAAGGCUCUUUCCCCGCAAGGGCCAAGUGUUGACACCUUAAAGCUGGCUGCGCCCCCAGCCCCACUCUUGGCUGUGCUGGCCAGGUGACUUCUAGUUCUUGGCCACAUCAUCAGAGAGUCAAAAGGUCUCACUCCAGGUUUGGGGCUCCUUCCUUCCACUCCCCUCCCUGCCAGAGUCUGUCUUGGCCAGUGCCAGCCUCGAUGCUUUGGUUUUGACCCCACCUGAUCCCCCUUUCCUCAUGCAGCACAAGUGCUCACCGGGGCCAGAGCCAGGGCAUGGAUAUGACAAGCAGGGCAGCCUGGACACUGCCCUCACAGGACAGCGUCAAUAACAAUACAGUGUAAUACAGUGUCUGAGUAUCUCC